AGGAAAUUUCUGGUGGGCCUUCGCGGCUCCGCUGGGUUGGCAGCCGCUUGAGCCACUGCGAGGAAAGCAAAGUCUGGGCCAUGGAGAUGAGCCUAGUCCUGCUGUUCCUGAUCCGCACUGCCCUUUUUGCACCCCAGGGAGCUGCUGCUGCCUGCCCAUCCU
Molecule: long non-coding RNA, 162 nt
Organism: Homo sapiens (human)
Lineage: Eukaryota; Metazoa; Chordata; Mammalia; Primates; Hominidae
Gene: HLA-F-AS1
Product: HLA-F antisense RNA 1
Source: RefSeq, marked validated